AUGCCUGGCCUACCUUUACCUGCCCGGGACGCAGCGGACGCUGGGUGUGAAUUCAGUUACCCUCAGUCUGCAGACCAGAUGCGCCAGCAACAGCUGAGAGCUCGAUUAUCUCCAGAUGAGCAGCUUGCUGCUGAAGAAAGUUUUGCGUUGUACUGCAAGCCAGUUGAGCUAUACAAUAUUAUUCAGCGGCGAGCCAUUAGAAAUCCCGCUUUUCUGCAAAGAUGCCUUCAUUACAAGAUACAUGCAAGCCGAAAAAAGAGAGACUUCACUAUUAUGUACUUUGCUGAUUCCUUUAGCUCUCUUGGAACCGCGUACAUAAGGAUUCAGAUAACGGUAUCACUAUCUCGAAGUACAAAUACUGAGUUGCCAGAACAGAAUAUCUUUCCUCUUUAUGUUCUGUUGGCUACACCUACUAGUAAUAUUUCGCUUGAAGGGCAUUCUCCGAUAUAUCGAUUCAGUCGGGCUUGUUUGCUUACAGCUUUUAGUGAAUUUGGUAAUAAAGGUCGCACCAAAGCUACAUUUAUAAUUCCAGACAUCAAGAAUUUAUCAACCUCCCGAGCUUGCAACCUUAACAUUAUCCUUAUCAGCUGUGUUUCGGAAGGGCAAGUUGGGGAAAAUCUUGGUGAAAGUAACUUCUCUGUGGACCAUGUGGAAGGCUCUGCUCUCCAAAAGCUUGAAGGGAAAUGUUUCUGGGGUAAAAUACCAAUUGAUCUACUUGGUUCGUCUUUGGAGAACUGUGUAACUUUAAAUUUGGGACAUACAGUGGAGUUGGCUUCUGCAGUUAGUAUGAGCCCAAGUUUCUUAGAGCCGAAAUUUAUGGAGCAGGACAGUUGCUUGACAUUUUGCUCUCAUAAGGUUGAUGCUGCGGGUUCAUAUCAACUCCAAGUAGGCAUAUCUGCUCAAGAAGCUGGUGCAAAAGACAUGUCUGAAUCUCCAUAUAGUAGUUACUCAUACAGUGGUGUCCCACCUUCAUCAUUACCACAUAUCAUAAGGUUAAGAGCUGGUAAUGUGCUUUUCAACUUCAAGUACUACAACAAUACUAUGCAAAAGACUGAAGUCACUGAAGAUUUUGCUUGCCCCUUCUGCUUGGUAAAAUGUGGAAGCUACAAGGGUUUGGGGUGUCACUUGAACUCAUCACAUGACCUAUUCCACUUUGAGUUUUGGAUAUCUGAAGAAUGCCAGGCUGUUAAUGUUAGUCUGAAGACUGAUGUCUGGAGAACUGAGCUUGUGGCUGAGGGAGUUGAUCCAAGACAUCAAACAUUUUCCUACUCCUCAAGGUUUAAGAAGCGUAGAAGGUUGGGAAUGUUGGGAACCACAGCUGAGAAAAUAAGCCAUGUACAUCCACAUAUCAUGGAUUCAGAUUCACCUGAAGACGCCCAGGCAGUGUCUGAAGAUGACUUUGUGCAGAGGGAGGAAGAUGAUAUUUCUGCACCACGUGCUUCUGUUGAUCCUGCUCAAUUAUUACAUGGUAGCAAUCUUUCACCACCCACAGUACUACAGUUUGGGAAGACAAGGAAACUAUCUGCGGAGCGAGCUGAUCCCAGAAACCGGCAACUCCUGCAGAAACGUCAGUUUUUCCAUUCUCACAGGGCACAGCCAAUGGCACUGGAACAAGUUUUCUCGGACCGUGAUAGUGAAGAUGAAGUUGAUGAUGACAUCGCCGAUUUUGAAGAUAAACGGAUGCUUGAGGAUUUUGUUGACGUUACAGACGAUGAGAAACUUAUUAUGCAUAUGUGGAAUUCAUUUGUUCGGAAACAAAGGGUGCUAGCUGAUGGUCAUAUUCCUUGGGCCUGUGAGGCAUUCUCCCGGCUUCAUGGAAAACAUCUUGUACAGAAUCCUCCUCUACUAUGGAGCUGGCGUUUCCUUAUGAUUAAACUCUGGAACCACAGUCUAUUAGAUGCCCGCGCCAUGAAUGUCUGCGGCACAAUUCUUCAAGGCUACCAAAAUGAAAGCUCGGACCCCAAGAAAAUGUGA
RNAcentral lists this ribosomal RNA (1974 nucleotides) under Triticum aestivum (bread wheat). RNAcentral's name for it is "partial small subunit ribosomal RNA". The record is from RNAcentral. Lineage: Eukaryota; Viridiplantae; Streptophyta; Magnoliopsida; Poales; Poaceae.